RNAcentral lists this ribosomal RNA (465 nucleotides) under uncultured bacterium. RNAcentral's name for it is "partial 16S ribosomal RNA". It matches the Rfam family "Bacterial small subunit ribosomal RNA", at positions 28 to 507 of the family's 1533-position model. The record is from RNAcentral.
GACGAACGCUGGCGGCGUGCUUAACACAUGCAAGUCGAACGGAAAGGCCCCUUCGGGGGUACUCGAGUGGCGCACGGGUGAGUAACACGUGAGUAACCUGCCCUUGACUUCGGGAUAACUUCAGGAAACUGGGGCUAAUACCGGAUAGGAAUCCUUGCUGCAUGGUGGGGGUUGGAAAGCUUCGGCGGUUUUGGAUGGACUCGCGGCUUAUCAGCUUGUUGGUGGGGUAGUGGCUUACCAAGGCUUUGACGGGUAGCCGGCCUGAGAGGGCGACCGGCCACAUUGGGACUGAGAUACGGCCCAGACUCCUACGGGAGGCAGCAGUGGGGAAUAUUGCACAAUGGGCGGAAGCCUGAUGCAGCAACGCCGCGGGCGGGAUGACGGCCUUCGGGUUGUAAACCGCUUUCAGCAGGGGCGAAGCUUGUGGUGACGGUACCUGCAGAAGAAGCACCGGCUAACUACGUG